ACAGUGUCUGGUGGGUAGUUUGACUGGGGCGGUCUCCUCCUAAAGAGUAACGGAGGAGCACGAAGGUUGGCUAAUCCUGGUCGGACAUCAGGAGGUUAGUGCAAUGGCAUAAGCCAGCUUGACUGCGAGCGUGACGGCGCGAGCAGGUGCGAAAGCAGGUCAUAGUGAUCCGGUGGUUCUGAAUGGAAGGGCCAUCGCUCAACGGAUAAAAGGUACUCCGGGGAUAACAGGCUGAUACCGCCCAAGAGUUCAUAUCGACGGCGGUGUUUGGCACCUCGAUGUCGGCUCAUCACAUCCUGGGGCUGAAGUAGGUCCCAAGGGUAUGGCUGUUCGCCAUUUAAAGUGGUACGCGAGCUGGGUUUAGAACGUCGUGAGACAGUUCGGUCCCUAUCUGCCGUGGGCGCUGGAGAACUGAGGGGGGCUGCUCCUAGUACGAGAGGACCGGAGUGGACGCAUCACUGGUGUUCGGGUUGUCAUGCCAAUGGCACUGCCCGGUAGCUAAAUGCGGAAGAGAUAAGUGCUGAAAGCAUCUAAGCACGAAACUUGCCCCGAGAUGAGUUCUCCCUGACCCUUUAAGGGUCCUGAAGGAACGUUGAAGACGACGACGUUGAUAGGCCGGGUGUGUAAGCGCAGCGAUGCGUUGAGCUAACCGGUACUAAUGAACCGUGAGGCUUAACCUUACAA
Molecule: ribosomal RNA, 684 nt
Filed under: Escherichia coli
Lineage: Bacteria; Pseudomonadati; Pseudomonadota; Gammaproteobacteria; Enterobacterales; Enterobacteriaceae
Description: partial 23S ribosomal RNA
Rfam family: Bacterial large subunit ribosomal RNA
Source: RNAcentral